GCACGAGAUGCGGAACUGGUAUACGCACCCGGCAACCGUCGGGAGCAGAAAUGCAUGUGGGUUCGAAUCCCACCUCGUGUA
Molecule: transfer RNA, 81 nt
Filed under: Butyrivibrio sp.
Lineage: Bacteria; Bacillati; Bacillota; Clostridia; Lachnospirales; Lachnospiraceae
Description: tRNA-OTHER
Rfam family: tRNA
About the family: Transfer RNA (tRNA) molecules are approximately 80 nucleotides in length. Their secondary structure includes four short double-helical elements and three loops (D, anti-codon, and T loops). Further hydrogen bonds mediate the characteristic L-shaped molecular structure. tRNAs have two regions of fundamental functional importance: the anti-codon, which is responsible for specific mRNA codon recognition, and the 3' end, to which the tRNAs corresponding amino acid is attached (by aminoacyl-tRNA synthetases). tRNAs cope with the degeneracy of the genetic code in two manners: having more than one tRNA (with a specific anti-codon) for a particular amino acid; and 'wobble' base-pairing, i.e. permitting non-standard base-pairing at the 3rd anti-codon position.
Source: RNAcentral